RNAcentral lists this long non-coding RNA (984 nucleotides) under Apteryx owenii (little spotted kiwi). Its description in RNAcentral is "lncRNA (ENSAOWG00000005647.1)". The record is from RNAcentral. Lineage: Eukaryota; Metazoa; Chordata; Aves; Apterygiformes; Apterygidae.
UGGCUUCACUGUCAAAGCAAGCAAAACUGAAUUCUAAAAGUAAACCUGGAGCAUGUAAUUACUUAUGCAAGAACAGACUUGCAUCACUAUUUUCCUUAUUGGUUUCCUCCAUUUAUUUUGGUUAUUUUUCUGUUUCUUGUUUGUAAAUUACUCCCACACAAAGAAGAAUAAAUAAGACUUGGCAUGGAUAUAGCAGAAUAUCUUUAGCUGUCCUAGGCUCUAAAACUAUGAACUCCUAGGAUGGGAUUAAUCUCCCUGAAUUUUAUAAUUUAAAGCUUAUUUGUAGUCAGUUUCGACAUUUGGCAGUAACAUAUUUUGAGCCUAAUGAGGGCCUAGUGUGACUGGAGUUCAUACACUGAAGAUCUUCCUCAAAGAAGCUCACUUGGGACACUGAUGUGAAGAUUUAAUUGAUCUGUCUGUAGCUUGGACCUGCUUCAGCAAAGUAUUUUUAAGCAUGUGCUUAAUUUGAAGUUUUAGUGCCUAUUCUAAGCAAUAAGAAAAACCUUAGAUCCUGGCCAGGUUUUAUUUCCCAAGAUAUGGAGCAGCAUGUGGAAAUCGUGAAAAAUAAAACAAGCUAUGAAAGGACUGAUGUCAGGAAGAACUCUUCUUCCCAUUCCUACAGUUGUAGCAAAGACUGACUUGCAUCAAAUAUAUGCUGAAAAUACGACUAUUGUGUGAUCUAUGCAACACGGCAAAGAAUGGCUGCUUUGGCAGAUUUAAGUCAUGGAUAAAAGAUCCUAAUUUUAGGUCAGUGCUACAUGCCAUUGAAUCAAUGAUUAAGUGAUCGCAUCAGAUUCAUGACACAGAAUAAGAAUUCUACACAAUCUCCUCUACAUGAUCUUUAGCCAGACCCCCAAACUGAACUUCUGGAAGGCAAGAAAAGAUGAUCUUUUAUAUGUAAAUAAGCAAGAAAGCUUCAUUAACAUUUUGGAAUUUCAAAAUCUGGAAAAGCUGGAGUUUGGUGAAAUCAGGGGAAACUUUUGA